RNAcentral lists this ribosomal RNA (274 nucleotides) under uncultured bacterium. RNAcentral's name for it is "partial 16S ribosomal RNA". It matches the Rfam family "Bacterial small subunit ribosomal RNA", at positions 523 to 796 of the family's 1533-position model. The record is from RNAcentral.
CUACGGAGGGUGCAAGCGUUACUCGGAAUCACUGGGCGUAAAGCGCGCGCAGGCGGCCAUUUAAGUUGGAUGUGAAAGCCUACGGCUCAACCGUAGAACUGCAUCCAAAACUAUUUGGCUAGAGUGUGGGAGAGGAAGAUGGAAUUAGUUGUGUAGGGGUAAAAUCCGUAGAGAUAACUAGGAAUACCAAAAGCGAAGGCAAUCUUCUGGAACAUUACUGACGCUGAGGCGCGAAAGCGUGGGGAGCAAACAGGAUUAGAAACCCGAGUAGUCC